UUACUUACCUGGCAGGGAAGAUACCAUGAUCACGAAGGGGUUUUUCCCAGGGUGAGGCUUAUCCAUUGCACUCCAGAUGUGCUGACCCCUGCGAUUUCCCCAAAUGUGGGAAACGCGACUGCAUAUUUUGUGAUAGUGGGGCACUACGUUCACGCUCUCCCCUG
RNAcentral lists this small nuclear RNA (164 nucleotides) under Carlito syrichta (Philippine tarsier). RNAcentral's name for it is "U1 spliceosomal RNA (ENSTSYG00000031061.1)". It matches the Rfam family "U1 spliceosomal RNA". From Rfam's summary of the family: U1 is a small nuclear RNA (snRNA) component of the spliceosome (involved in pre-mRNA splicing). Its 5' end forms complementary base pairs with the 5' splice junction, thus defining the 5' donor site of an intron. The record is from Rfam by way of RNAcentral. Lineage: Eukaryota; Metazoa; Chordata; Mammalia; Primates; Tarsiidae.